RNAcentral lists this transfer RNA (94 nucleotides) under Candidatus Aenigmatarchaeota archaeon. RNAcentral's name for it is "tRNA-Arg". It matches the Rfam family "tRNA". From Rfam's summary of the family: Transfer RNA (tRNA) molecules are approximately 80 nucleotides in length. Their secondary structure includes four short double-helical elements and three loops (D, anti-codon, and T loops). Lineage: Archaea; Nanobdellati; Candidatus Aenigmatarchaeota. The record is from RNAcentral.
GCCCCCGUAGUUCAGCUGGAAAGAACGCAGCCCUGCGGAGGCUGUGACCCCGGUUCGAAUGACCUUUUUAGGUCUGAAAAUCCGGGCGGGGGCA